UGGGGAAUCUUGGACAAUGGGGGCAACCCUGAUCCAGCGAUGCCGCGUGAGCGAAGAAGGCCUUAGGGUUGUAAAGCUCUUUCGCCCGCGACGAUGAUGACGGUAGCGGGAGAAGAAGCCCCGGCUAACUUCGUGCCAGCAGCCGCGGUAAUACGAAGGGGGCUAGCGUUGUUCGGAAUUACUGGGCGUAAAGCGCACGUAGGCGGAUCGAUCAGUUAGGGGUGAAAUCCCGGGGCUCAACCCCGGAACUGCCUCUAAUACUGUCGAUCUGGAGUUCGAGAGAGGUCAGUGGAAUUCCGAGUGUAGAGGUGAAAUUCGUAGAUAUUCGGAGGAACACCAGUGGCGAAGGCGGCUCACUGGCUCGAUACUGACGCUGAGGUGCGAAAGCGUGGGGAGCAAACA
Molecule: ribosomal RNA, 402 nt
Filed under: uncultured bacterium
Lineage: Bacteria
Description: bacterial SSU rRNA
Rfam family: Bacterial small subunit ribosomal RNA
Source: RNAcentral